This 208-nucleotide ribosomal RNA is filed under the name uncultured bacterium. RNAcentral describes it as "partial 16S ribosomal RNA". It matches the Rfam family "Bacterial small subunit ribosomal RNA", at positions 568 to 775 of the family's 1533-position model. The record is from RNAcentral.
CGCGUAGGCGGGAUGGCAAGUCAGAUGUGAAAUCUCAGGGCUCAACCCUGAAACUGCAUUUGAAACUGUCGUUCUUGAGUACUGGAGAGGUUGACGGAAUUCCUAGUGUAGCGGUGAAAUGCGUAGAUAUUAGGAGGAACACCAGUGGCGAAGGCGGUCAACUGGACAGAAACUGACGCUGAGGCGCGAAAGCGUGGGGAGCAAACAG